Molecule: non-coding RNA, 172 nt
Organism: Chelonoidis abingdonii (Abingdon island giant tortoise)
Lineage: Eukaryota; Metazoa; Chordata; Testudines; Testudinidae
Source: RefSeq, a predicted model, not a curated record
GAAAAUAACUGCUGGGAAGGAGCCUGGGAGUGAACCUGGAGGGUUGUUGUGUGUGGCUGGGAAAAGUAUGGAAUAGUGGGUUUUUUUAGGAUUAGGAUUGUUAGGGAGUGGGGAAGCCUCCCCCAUGCAGACCCAGGCUAACCCCUAUCCUCUCUCAUUCAGUCAGGCACAU